Long non-coding RNA from Notolabrus celidotus (New Zealand spotty), 746 nucleotides. RefSeq lists it as uncharacterized. The transcript has 3 exons. The record is from RefSeq and is a predicted model, not a curated record. Lineage: Eukaryota; Metazoa; Chordata; Actinopteri; Labriformes; Labridae.
CAGAACACUAAAAAGGGGAGCUAAGAAAACUACUUCCUGUGUUAUUAAGUAAAAACUUAUUAUAUAUAUAUCAGGAUAUAUGGUUCACAUUGGAGCUGUGAAAACAACUAGUGUUUGAGCGCUGCAUCACCUGGUGUGAGGUGAGGCUGAGGCAACAGGAGGCGUUAGUGAGGACAGCCAAGUAAUUCCCCAGAGACCAGCUCGGACAACAGCCACUUCUGGAUGUUCCCUCAGCUUCAGCCCUCACAUGCUGCUGGCACAUAUCCUGGAACUGAGCCUGGGAUCGAAUCUGGAUCAGACGAGAGAAACGAUUUCUUGAACAGUUUUUCCAAGCAUGAUGUUUGACAGGAGCUGAUGGCUAAAGUGGUGAAGGAAGACGCAGACAAACAAUGGUGAGAUGAAGGGAGGAGAAUCUUAGAGCGAACCCUGGAUUGCUCCAUCUCACACAUGGCAUGGAUGGCCUUCAGACUCCACAGACUGGCUGAGUUCUCUGAUCGAAACACCAACUGAGCCAAAUGCUCGCCUGUGUGAAGAGAGAUAGAUGAAUUUAACAUACAGAAACAAGAUGACCGGCAGUGAAUCAUCAGUGUGUUGAGAAUGGUACGCAGCAUUGUUUAGAUUAGCGUAAUUGUUGACAAGAGGUCUGAGUGGAAACAUUCAUGGAGGUAAAAGUAGGCCAACAAUAAAUUCCUUAUGUGCAACAUCUAUUGGUCUCCUUUGAAUACAAAAAAAGACUUCACAUAAUG